GCACUGGUGGUUCAAUGGUAGAAUUCUUACCUUCUGUGCAGGAGACCCAGGUUCAAACCCUGGCCAAUGCA
This is a transfer RNA of Loxodonta africana (African savanna elephant), 71 nucleotides long. It matches the Rfam family "tRNA". From Rfam's summary of the family: Transfer RNA (tRNA) molecules are approximately 80 nucleotides in length. Their secondary structure includes four short double-helical elements and three loops (D, anti-codon, and T loops). The record is from Rfam. Lineage: Eukaryota; Metazoa; Chordata; Mammalia; Proboscidea; Elephantidae.